RNAcentral lists this ribosomal RNA (237 nucleotides) under uncultured bacterium. RNAcentral's name for it is "partial 16S ribosomal RNA". It matches the Rfam family "Bacterial small subunit ribosomal RNA", at positions 15 to 244 of the family's 1533-position model. The record is from RNAcentral.
GAUCCUAGGCUCAGGAUGAACGCUGGCGGCGUGCCUAAUACAUGCAAGUCGAACGCUUUGUAAAGGAGCUUGCUUCUUUACGAGGAGUGGCGAACGGGUGAGUAAUACAUAAGCAAUCUGCCCAUCGGCCUGGGAUAACAGUUGGAAACGACUGCUAAUACCGGAUAGGUUAGUUCUGGCAUCAGGGACUAAUUAAAGUUGGGAUACAACACGGAUGGAUGAGCUUAUGCGUAUUAG